UACAGAGGGUGCAAGCGUUAAUCGGAAUUACUGGGCGUAAAGGGCGCGUAGGUGGUUAUAUAAGUUGACUGUGAAAGACCCGGGCUUAACCUGGGGGUGUCAGUCAAAACUGUAUAGCUAGAGUAGGAUAGAGGGAAGUGGAAUUUCCGGUGUAGCGGUGAAAUGCGUAGAUAUCGGAAAGAACACCAGUGGCGAAGGCGGCUUCCUGGAUCCAUACUGACACUGAGGCGCGAAAGCGUAGGGAGCAAACAGG
Molecule: ribosomal RNA, 253 nt
Filed under: uncultured bacterium
Lineage: Bacteria
Description: partial 16S ribosomal RNA
Rfam family: Bacterial small subunit ribosomal RNA
Source: RNAcentral